Molecule: ribosomal RNA, 252 nt
Filed under: uncultured bacterium
Lineage: Bacteria
Description: partial 16S ribosomal RNA
Rfam family: Bacterial small subunit ribosomal RNA
Source: RNAcentral
UACGGAGGAUGCGAGCGUUAUCCGGAUUUAUUGGGUUUAAAGGGUGCGCAGGCGGCGUGUCAAGUCAGCGGUAAAAUGUCGGGGCUCAACCCCGGCCGGCCGUUGAAACUGGCAUGCUCGAGUUGGAGAGAAGUAUGCGGAAUUCGUGGUGUAGCGGUGAAAUGCAUAGAUAUCACGAAGAACCCCGAUUGCGAAGGCAGCAUACCGGCUCCACACUGACGCUGAGGCACGAAAGCGUGGGUAUCGAACAGG